This 464-nucleotide ribosomal RNA is filed under the name uncultured soil bacterium. Its description in RNAcentral is "bacterial SSU rRNA". It matches the Rfam family "Bacterial small subunit ribosomal RNA", at positions 27 to 506 of the family's 1533-position model. The record is from RNAcentral.
GGGACGAACGCUGGCGACGUGCUUAACACAUGCAAGUCGAGCGGUAAGGCCUUUCGGGGUACACGAGCGGCGAACGGGUGAGUAACACGUGGGUGAUCUGCCCUGCACUCUGGGAUAAGCCUGGGAAACUGGGUCUAAUACCGGAUAUGACCUGCUCUCGCAUGGGGGGUGGGUGGAAAGAUUUAUCGGUGCAGGAUGGGCCCGCGGCCUAUCAGCUUGUUGGUGGGGUAAUGGCCUACCAAGGCGACGACGGGUAGCCGACCUGAGAGGGUGACCGGCCACACUGGGACUGAGACACGGGCCCAGACUCCUACGGGAGGCAGCAGUGGGGAAUAUUGCACAAUGGGCGAAAGCCUGAUGCAGCGACGCCGCGUGAGGAUGAAGGCCUUGGGUUGUAAACCUCUUUCAGCAGGACGAAGCGCGAAGUGACGGUACCUGCGAGAAGAAGCACCGGCUAACUACGU